This 68-nucleotide transfer RNA is filed under the name Phrynosoma platyrhinos (Desert horned lizard). Its description in RNAcentral is "tRNA-OTHER". The record is from RNAcentral. Lineage: Eukaryota; Metazoa; Chordata; Lepidosauria; Squamata; Phrynosomatidae.
UAAGUGUGGUGUAGUGGUUUGAGUGUUGGACUGUGACUCUGGAGACCAGGGUUCGAAUCCCUGUUCAG